Anneissia japonica is the source of this 1909-nucleotide long non-coding RNA. RefSeq lists it as uncharacterized. The record is from RefSeq and is a predicted model, not a curated record. The transcript has 4 exons. Lineage: Eukaryota; Metazoa; Echinodermata; Crinoidea; Comatulida; Comatulidae.
AUUCGCAUCAGGGGUACGAUCUCCACGAACAGAUUUAAAUCCAACUACCUGGAUGUAUUGGUCACUGUGCUUAUCACUCAGGUGCGUUUCGGUGAAUGCCAUUAAACUGGCAUUUCUAAAAUCGCUGAAGUGUUCUACAUUUGCUCUAAGUAAAUCGAUUUUGUUGUUCAAUGAUCUAACAUUUCCAAGUACUAAAGAUGGUAUAAAUGGCUUACACUUCCUUCGUUGAAGUCUUUUUCUGACUCCUCCAGCCUUACCCCUCUUCCUAAUCCUAGGCUUAUUAUAUGGAAAGACUGUAUAUGUUGACCUAAAGAAGAUGAAGCUCAUACUUUUCAUAUACACUUUGUGUCUUACCUGGAUAUCUUGUAUGCUAAUUUUAAUUAUGCAUAUGCAAAUUACUUAUGCUAAUUUUGGAUGAUUGCGAGGGGUGGACUGUGUAGAGGUCAGUUGAGGAAGAUUGGCUGAGCGGGAGAUAGCUCAAGGGAGGCCAAUGAUUUGAAUGGCCAAAGGAUAGGCCUAAAGGAUUGGAAUUACCCUUGUUUUGCGAAGUAUCCUGCAGUAUGUGGCUAAGUGUGUAGCCUGGAAUAUGCUUGAUAUAUACAAGAAAACUGUGAUGGAAUUGAGCCACCCAAGUUUUAUGAAAAAUAUUACAGGAAACCGUAGUGGAAUUGAGACGCCUGAGUUUUAUGGAUAAUACUGCCGAGAAAACUGUGGUGGAAUUGAGACGCCCGAGUUUUAUGGAUAAUACUGCCGAGAAAACUGUGGUGGAAUUGAGACGCCCGAGUUUUACGGAUACUGUGCUACAAGAAACUAUUGUAGAAAAGCAGGGGGAAUUGAGCCGCCCAAGUUGAUUUGUUGCUACGGUAGAACCGAGCAGACGUAACGUGCCGUGAGAGCAUUUUGUUUAUAAACAUUUCCGUUCGAUAUUUGUAUAAUGAUGAUUCUUUGUUAAUUUUAUAUUAUACCUUUACUUUUCAUUGUUAAAGUCGGAAGAUUCGACGAUUAAAUAGAUAAUCUGGUGUGAAUUGCAACAAGUUGUACUCAGUUAUUUCAUUGGUUGAAGAACACAAACAGAGCUUGUGACAAGCUGAUCAAGAACAAACUCGCUUGCAACCUCAUGAAAGGAAAAGGAAGAUAAAGAGCUUAGUAACACGAUUUUUACAGUUUCGUGCUUCAAGCCAUAGUUCAUCACGACCUGUUGAUUUGGCACGAACCUUAAGACUAUCUCGUCUGUGCAUAAGUGAGAGAAUGUCAUCCCUAUCCUUGAGCCAUUCUGGAAGUUUCCUCUUAAAACGCUUGGUGCUUAGUGGUGCAUGUUUGUCUAUGACAAUCUUCAUGAAAUUAUGUAGAAUUUUCAGGCAAAUGUCGACAUCGCUUAUCUGUGUGAUAUUUGACCAAGGUGUAUUUGGAGGUCUGUACACAGUUGUUAUAUGAACAGGAAAAGUUGUCACAUUGAUUUCAAUCAUCAGUGAUUCGAGUACAUCAUUAAGUUCAUCACUGAUGGAUAUUUCACUGUAAAUGACGUUAUUGGCAAUGUAAAUGGCCACACCUCCACCGUGUCUAUUCCUGUCCUUCCUUAUAAGUGUGUAUCCAGAAAUGUAGAACUUCUAUAUCGGGGAUAACCGGUGAUAGUUUCGACUCGGACACGGGCCUGGAUUAGGGUGACAUCACCGACAAGCUAAUCUGAGCGAUUGAGUUGGAGUUUGCGUACCGCAAGUACGGUGCGCUGUAUCGCUUCCGCCUACCAGGUUGAUUGAUUACGACCCGUCGACGUUGUUGAAUUUGCUUAACAAUGCAAACAGGUGCAAUAACUCGUAGUUUGACCGAUGUUUCAUUAUAAACAUGUAUAAUAUUGUAAAAUACUUUAGAUAAAUAAUAAAAACAUUUCGGAAAUAAAUCCACGUCAUAG